Molecule: ribosomal RNA, 462 nt
Filed under: uncultured bacterium
Lineage: Bacteria
Description: bacterial SSU rRNA
Rfam family: Bacterial small subunit ribosomal RNA
Source: RNAcentral
GUACGGGAGGCAGCAGUAAGGAAUAUUGGACAAUGGAGGCAACUCUGAUCCAGCCAUGCCGCGUGAAGGAUGAAGGCGCUACGCGUUGUAAACUUCUUUUCUCUUAGAAAAAACUCUUGGUUUCGUACCGAGACUGAUUGUACAAGAGGAAUAAGCAUCGGCUAACUUCGUGCCAGCAGCCGCGGUAAUACGAAGGAUGCAAGCGUUAUCCGGAUUCACUGGGUUUAAAGGGUGUGCAGGUGGGGUAAUAAGUCAGUGGUGAAAGCCCCCGACUCAAUCGGGGAACUGCCAUAGAUACUGUUAUUCUUGAGUGUGGUUGAGGCGGAUGGAAUAUGACAUGUAGCGGUGAAAUGCUUAGAUAUGUCAUAGAACACCGAUCGCGAAGGCAGUCCGCCAAACCAUUACUGACACUGAAACACGAAAGUGCGGGGAUCAAACAGGAUUAGAUACCCCGGUAGUCAU